GAAACCUGGGCUAAUACCGCAUACAGCACCGGCUUGGAAGCCGGAUGUGAAAGCUGGCCUCUCGAAGAAGCUGGCACCAUCGGAUGAGCUCGCGGCCUAUCAGCUAGUUGGUGGGGUAACGGCCUACCAAGGCGAUGACGGGUAGCUGGCGUGAGAGCGUGGCCAGCCACACUGGGACUGAGACACGGCCCAGACUCCUACGGGAGGCAGCAGUGGGGAAUAUUGCGCAAUGGGCGAAAGCCUGACGCAGCGACGCCGCGUGGGGGAGGAAGGCCUCAGGGUCGUAAACCCCUGUCAGGUGGGACGAACCACCGAUCGGUCAAUACCCGGUCGGUCUGACGGUACCACCAGAGGAAGCUCCGGCUAACUCCGUGCCAGCAGCCGCGGUAAUACGGAGGGAGCUAGCGUUGUUCGGAAUCACUGGGCGUAAAGGGCGCGUAGGCGGUCGGGUAAGUCGAGUGUGAAAUUCCGGGGCUCAACCCCGCGAACUGCAUUCGAUACUGCUCGACUAGAGAGAGGUAGGGGCGAGUGGAAUUCCCGGUGUAGCGGUGGAAUGCGUA
Molecule: ribosomal RNA, 560 nt
Filed under: uncultured bacterium
Lineage: Bacteria
Description: bacterial SSU rRNA
Rfam family: Bacterial small subunit ribosomal RNA
Source: RNAcentral